Molecule: non-coding RNA, 177 nt
Filed under: chicken gut metagenome
Description: 6S / SsrS RNA
Rfam family: 6S / SsrS RNA
About the family: E. coli 6S RNA was the first non coding RNA to be sequenced, but its function was unknown until recently. It consists of 184 nucleotides that fold into an extended hairpin structure with a large single-stranded internal bulge.
Source: RNAcentral
CUUCCUGGGAUGUCCGAGGCUCCCACUUAUUUUUGAACCUACAUUACUUUAAACGGGAUUCCUACAUUGUCUCAUGGAUGUCAGGCCGUCAUUGCGCAGCGGAAGGCAGAAGUGUGACUGCGGUUGCCCACCUAGCAUCAGCUAGGAGUCAAAAGGUGGGAAACGGCAUUCUGGGAG